GAGAAAGAAGCAUUGAAAUAUGCGGCUAACUUGAAAUUAGUUGAAGGUGUGUUAGUGUCAUCCUUUCUUG
This 70-nucleotide transfer RNA is filed under the name Xerotyphlops vermicularis (Eurasian blind snake). Its description in RNAcentral is "tRNA-Ser". The record is from RNAcentral. Lineage: Eukaryota; Metazoa; Chordata; Lepidosauria; Squamata; Typhlopidae.